AGGCUAAAUACUCCUGAUUGACCGAUAGUGAACCAGUACCGUAAGGGAAAGGCGAAAAGAACCCCGGCGAGGGGAGUGAAAAAGAACCUGAAACCGUGUACGUACAAGCAGUAGGAGCCUCUUUAUGGGGUGACUGCGUACCUUUUGUAUAAUGGGUCAGCGACUUAUAUUCUGUAGCAAGGUUAACCGUAUAGGGGAGCCGUAGGGAAACCGAGUCUUAACUGGGCGAAUGAGUUGCAGGGUAUAGACCCGAAACCCGGUGAUCUAUCCAUGGGCAGGUUGAAGGUUGGGUAACACUAACUGGAG
Molecule: ribosomal RNA, 306 nt
Filed under: Proteus mirabilis
Lineage: Bacteria; Pseudomonadati; Pseudomonadota; Gammaproteobacteria; Enterobacterales; Morganellaceae
Description: partial 23S ribosomal RNA
Rfam family: Bacterial large subunit ribosomal RNA
Source: RNAcentral